AACGCACAUUGCGCCCUUUGGCAUUCCGAAGGGCAUGCCCGUUCGAGCGUCAUUUCACCAAUCAAGCCUGGCUUGGUGUUGGGCCCCGGGGUGACCCGGACCCCAAUGUCCGCCGGCCGGACGACCCGGACCUCAGCGUCAUGGCACUGUAAAGUUCCGCUGGAGGGGAAGGGUUGGCCGUGCCGUCAACAAAAUACUUUUACAAGGUUGACCUCGGAUCGGGUAGGGAUACCCGCUGAACUUAA
RNAcentral lists this unclassified non-coding RNA (245 nucleotides) under uncultured fungus. RNAcentral's name for it is "partial contains 5.8S ribosomal RNA, internal transcribed spacer 2, and large subunit ribosomal RNA". The record is from RNAcentral. Lineage: Eukaryota; Fungi.